AAGGUUUUAGCUUAUUUAAAGUGUCUGUUUUGCAUGCAGGGGAUGUGGGGUAAUGUCCCGCAAGUCUUA
RNAcentral lists this transfer RNA (69 nucleotides) under Brachionichthys hirsutus. RNAcentral describes it as "tRNA-Ala". It matches the Rfam family "tRNA". Rfam says of the family: Transfer RNA (tRNA) molecules are approximately 80 nucleotides in length. Their secondary structure includes four short double-helical elements and three loops (D, anti-codon, and T loops). Lineage: Eukaryota; Metazoa; Chordata; Actinopteri; Lophiiformes; Brachionichthyidae. The record is from RNAcentral.